UGCAAAGUUCUAUGUCUCCAGCUACACUUGUUCUGCUCCACCCACUCCCUUCCAAACAGAAGGACUAGACAGGGGGCAAAUAGAUAGCAAAGGUUUUUGUAAUGAUGCCUGAGGUGGUGUCCGACAGAAAAGCUCACCUUUGGAAGGGGCACUCAACUCAUCGUGGAACCAAGAAAUCAGUCUCCUGCCAAACCAAGUGUUUUCGUCAUGAAAAAUGGGACGAAUGUCGCUUGUCUGGUGAAGGAUUUCUACCCCAGGGCUAUAAACAUAAAUCUCAAAUCGUCCAAGAAAAUAAUAGAAUUUGACCCUGCUAUCGCCGUCUCUCCCAGUGGGAAGUACAGCGCUGUUAAGCUUGGUCGGUAUGAAGAUGCAGAUUCAGUGACAUGUUCAGUUCAACACGACAAAGGGACCUUUGAGUCCACUUCCUUUGAAAACAUUCAAAGAAGGUCAAAGAGAAGUUCAGGUGAUCUAAAAACAGUGGAACCUGAAAACAAAAAGCAAACUUCAGGGAGCUGCCAUGAACCCAAAGUUCACGCCGAGAAGGUGAACAUGAUGUCCCUCACGGUGCUGGGGCUCCGAAUGCUGUUUGCCAAGAGCGUUGCCAUCAAUUUUCUCUUGACUGCCAAGUUAUUUUUCUUUUAAGGCUGACUGGCAUGAGAAGACUACACUCCCUGAAAGAAACCAAACGCCUGCAGAGGUGCUGUCUUCUAGGCUUCCAACUUCUGGGUGAUUUAGGUGGACCUGUCCCAGCCUUGCUUAAAAGACUGCUACCCAAACCAGUUUUCCUUUGCAGGCAACAAACCCAGCUCAUCCUCCAGCCUAGUGGAAAGAAGAAAGUCCAGCAGAGUGAAGUUUAUAGUCCUAACUGCUUUCUAUGCUGCUUUAAAAAGGAAUAUAGAGAUAUAAAGGGAUAUAGGAUUCAUUUUUCUAUUCCUAUAACUGAUACACUUUGAAAGGGAUGCUUUGUUCCUUGAACUUUCUUUUGCCUCCAGAAGUAGAAAAUGGGAGCUGAUGAGUUCCCAGCUGCAUUCUCCAAGAGGAAAAUAGACCCUGGGGGAAGGACAGCAGGUGUCUUUUGCCUAAAUAUGAAAGGCUCUGCUCAAGCCAGCACUAGAUUUGCCACCAAACUGUCAUUCUCAUCCACAAAAGCACUUUCUGCUUCUCCUAGUACUUUGCAAACAAAAUUACAUUUGACUUCCCUGAUACUCACCGAGCAGGGAAGGAGUUUCUAAAUUCUAAUCUAAAUUAACUCUCCAAGCUAUUAGUAGAGAUCAGAGUAAAAUAUAGAGGAAAUGCACUUCUUUCUCUUAAUUGAUUUAACAAACAUGAAUUACUCCCUCUAUGUUCCAGGCACCAUGCUGAGGGUGCAAAGAUAAAUAAGACGCAGGCCUUGCUUUCAAGAACUCACUGUGCAAGUGUUUAUGGAGGGAGAGAUAGGAAUGAAACCCCCAGAUUUCCCCUGUAAAAACAAUAUCUUUCUGUCUUUGCCUGCCAAUCUGUGCACUGGAAGUUUGAAGUCAUUGGACACUGACUCUUGCCUGGGCCUUUGGUAUUAUUGGUUUUCUCCUGUUCUUCUCUGAUGCUGUCUCUGUUGCAUUUAUUAAAGUGCAUUGUGUGUGCCUCGCC
Non-coding RNA from Diceros bicornis minor, 1626 nucleotides. Lineage: Eukaryota; Metazoa; Chordata; Mammalia; Perissodactyla; Rhinocerotidae. The record is from the annotation of a RefSeq genome assembly.